UGCAGAAUCCCGUGAACCAUCGAGUUUUUGAACGCAAGUUGCGCCCGAAGCCAUUCGGUUGAGGGCACGUCUGCCUGGGCGUCACGCAUCGCGUCGCUCCCACCAACCCUCCCUUUGGGAUGAUUGGUUUGGGGCGGAUAUUGGUCUCCCGUUUUUCACCAAGCGGUUGGCCAAAAAAAGAGUCCCUUUUGACAGGAACACGACUAGUGGUGGUUGACAAAACCCAGAAUUCUGUUGUGUGUCUUGUCAAGAUGGUGCUUCUUAAUAGACCCAACGCGUUGUCAUGACGCUUCGACCGCGACCCCAGGUCAGGCGGGACUACCCGCUGAGUUUAA
Molecule: ribosomal RNA, 335 nt
Filed under: Magnoliophyta environmental sample
Lineage: Eukaryota; Viridiplantae; Streptophyta; Magnoliopsida
Description: eukaryotic LSU rRNA
Rfam family: 5.8S ribosomal RNA (bases 1-84)
Source: RNAcentral